GGAUAACCUACCUAUAAGACUGGGAUAACUUCGGGAAACCGGAGCUAAUACCGGAUAAUAUUUUGAACCGCAUGGUUCAAAAGUGAAAGACGGUCUUGCUGUCACUUAUAGAUGGAUCCGCGCUGCAUUAGCUAGUUGGUAAGGUAACGGCUUACCAAGGCAACGAUGCAUAGCCGACCUGAGAGGGUGACCGGCCACAUUGGGACUGAGAUACGGCCCAG
This 221-nucleotide ribosomal RNA is filed under the name uncultured Staphylococcus sp. RNAcentral's name for it is "partial 16S ribosomal RNA". It matches the Rfam family "Bacterial small subunit ribosomal RNA", at positions 119 to 334 of the family's 1533-position model. Lineage: Bacteria; Bacillati; Bacillota; Bacilli; Caryophanales; Staphylococcaceae. The record is from RNAcentral.